Molecule: non-coding RNA, 62 nt
Filed under: Deltaproteobacteria bacterium
Lineage: Bacteria; Pseudomonadati; Myxococcota; Myxococcia
Description: Fluoride sequence
Rfam family: Fluoride riboswitch aptamer (crcB RNA motif)
Source: RNAcentral
AUUAUCUCCGGCGAUGGAGUCCGCCAGAACCGCCUUUCCAGGCUGAUGACUCCUGCCAAGGU